Molecule: long non-coding RNA, 245 nt
Filed under: Phoenix dactylifera (date palm)
Lineage: Eukaryota; Viridiplantae; Streptophyta; Magnoliopsida; Arecales; Arecaceae
Description: long non-coding RNA (PDAC_LNC012985)
Source: RNAcentral
GAAUUAUACUUGUCUAUGUGAAAGUGGUCCCUUUCUUAAUAGAGGCCCUUGUAUGGUAUAGGUUGUAAUUGUUCAUGUGAAAGUGAUCCCUAUCUUAACAAGCACACUUGUAGCAAGGUUGCAAUUGUUCAUAUGAGAGCAGCCCCUGUCUUAUUUGGGUGAAGUCGGUAUUUUUGAGGUGGAUCAGCAUGUGGGUGUAGGAAGUUUGACCCUACUGGUAUACCAUGGAGCUAAUGCAACAGUAG